RNAcentral lists this ribosomal RNA (440 nucleotides) under uncultured bacterium. RNAcentral describes it as "partial 16S ribosomal RNA". It matches the Rfam family "Bacterial small subunit ribosomal RNA", at positions 338 to 795 of the family's 1533-position model. The record is from RNAcentral.
CCUACGGGUGGCAGCAGUGGGGAAUAUUGCACAAUGGGGGAAACCCUGAUGCAGCGACGCCGCGUGAGUGAAGAAGGAAUUCGGUAUGUAAAGCUCUAUCAGCAGGGAAGAAAAUGACGGUACCUGAGUAAGAAGCCCCGGCUAACUACGUGCCAGCAGCCGCGGUAAUCCGUAGGGGGCAAGCGUUAUCCGGAUUUACUGGGUGUAAAGGGAGCGUAGACGGCAGUGCAAGUCUGGAGUGAAAGGCGGGGGGUCAACCCCCGGACUGCUCUGGAAACUGUACGGCUUGAGUGCAGGAGAGGUAAGUGGAAUUCCUAGUGUAGCGGUGAAAUGCGUAGAUAUUAGGAGGAACACCAGUGGCGAAGGCGGCUUACUGGACUGUAACUGACGUUGAGGCUCGAAAGCGUGGGGAGCAAACAGGAUUAGAUACCCGUGUAGUC